This 470-nucleotide ribosomal RNA is filed under the name uncultured bacterium. Its description in RNAcentral is "bacterial SSU rRNA". It matches the Rfam family "Bacterial small subunit ribosomal RNA", at positions 57 to 571 of the family's 1533-position model. The record is from RNAcentral.
GCAAGUCGAGCGCUCGUAGCAAUACGGGAGCGGCAGACGGGAGAGUAACACGUGGGAACGUACCCUUCGGUUCGGAAUAACCCAGGGAAACUUGGGCUAAUACCGGAUGCGUCCGUAAGGAGAAAGAUUUAUCGCCGAAGGAUCGGCCCGCGCCCGAUUAGCUAGUUGGUGAGGUAAUGGCUCACCAAGGCGACGAUCGGUAGCUGGUCUGAGAGGAUGAUCAGCCUCACUGGGACUGAGACACGGCCCAGACUCCUACGGGAGGCAGCAGUGGGGAAUAUUGGACAAUGGGCGCAAGCCUGAUCCAGCCAUGCCGCGUGGGUGAUGAAGGCCUUAGGGUUGUAAAGCCCUUUCGGCGGGGAAGAUAAUGACGGUACCCGCAGAAGAAGCCCCGGCUAACUUCGUGCCAGCAGCCGCGGUAAUACGAAGGGGGCUAGCGUUGCUCGGAAUCACUGGGCGUAAAGCGCACG